GUUCAAUGUGUUUUCCCAAAGGAUACAACAGAGGCUCUGAUAUGGGAAGUGAAUACAGGUACAACCAGUCCCCAGGUGGAUUCACCACCUCCCAGUCAGGAGAAAACCAAGAGGUCAGCCCUCCAGAUGAUGUCGUGUCCCAGCUGCUGUCUGCCACAGUUGCCAGGGAAGUCUUCAGCUUUGGAGACAUGGAGGUCAACCAGGGCCAAAGGUCAUUGUUGGCUUUCAACCGCUGUUGCCUUGAGGACCUGAAUGAGAUCACCUCACAUGCUGGAGGUAGUGCAGGCCCACAUGCAGCACAACAGGAACCUGUGUAGUGGUGGUAAUGCUGGAGACAGACGCAUCAACGUAUGGGCUGAGCAAUCAGAGCCAGGUCUGUUUUUUUUAGCCCAGCAGCAGAAACGACACCUAGACCAGGGGUACUCAACUCUUAACCCACGUGGUCCGAAGCCUGCUGCUUUUCUUUUUCUAUCUGAUAAUUAAUUGCACACAACUGGUGUCCCAGGUCUAAAUCAGUCCCUGAUUAGAGGGGAACACUUAAACAUGCAGUGGAACUGGCUUCUAGGUCCAGAGUUGUUUGAGAGGCCUAGACCCUAGCUUCUAAUGCCUGAUUGACUAUAGGGGUGACCUGAACUGUUCUAUGUUGGUUCAGAUCUUUUUAUUUUCACAUUGUCCUUACCAGCACAGUUCCAGCAACUAGAGUCAAUGUGUAACCAGGCCAACACAGUACAGCUAAGCUUGGCUAGGCUAAGUAGUGUGAAAAGGGUAUGUGUCUUGGGGUAGGGGUUGUUUCUGGAUAAGGCCUCUGUAUGCAGUUUCAAAACCAACUCGACAAUGGAUUUGUCUGUGUGAUAAUUAGAUUGGGCCUGUAGUCUAAGGCUGUCCAAUUCUGAGAUUUAUUUUCACUAAUUGGUAUUUUGACCAAUCCGAUCAACUCGUA
Molecule: long non-coding RNA, 940 nt
Filed under: Salmo trutta (river trout)
Lineage: Eukaryota; Metazoa; Chordata; Actinopteri; Salmoniformes; Salmonidae
Description: lncRNA (ENSSTUG00000048494.1)
Source: RNAcentral